CCUACGUGUGACAGCAGUGAGGAAUAUUGGUCAAUGGCCGCGAGGCUGAACCAGCCAAGUCGCGUGAGGGAUGACUGCCCUACGGGUUGUAAACUUCUUUUGUAGGGGAGUAAAGCGAGGCACGUGUGCCUUUUUGAAAGUAUUUUAUGAAUAAGCAUCGGCUAACUCCGUGCCAGCAGCCGCGGUAAUACGGAGGAUUCGAGCGUUAUCCGGAUUUAUUGGGUUUAAAGGGUGCGUAGAUGGUUCGGUAAGUUAGUGGUGAAAGGCUGCGGCUCAACCGCAACACUGCCUGUGAUACUGGCAGGCUAGAGUAUAGUUGAGGUAGGCGGAAUGCGUGGUGUAGCGGUGAAAUGCAUAGAGAGCACGCAGAACUCCGAUUGCGAAGGCAGCUUACCAAACUGCGACUGACAUUGAGGCACGAAAGCGUGGGGAGCAAACAGGAUUAGAUACCCGAGUAGUC
RNAcentral lists this ribosomal RNA (460 nucleotides) under uncultured bacterium. RNAcentral's name for it is "partial 16S ribosomal RNA". It matches the Rfam family "Bacterial small subunit ribosomal RNA", at positions 338 to 795 of the family's 1533-position model. The record is from RNAcentral.